AUGCACGCUGGCGGCGUGCCUAAUACAUGCAAGUCGAGCGAACAGAUAAGGAGCUUGCUCCUUUGACGUUAGCGGCGGACGGGUGAGUAACACGUGGGUAACCUACCUAUAAGACUGGAAUAACUCCGGGAAACCGGGGCUAAUGCCGGAUAACAUUUAGAACCGCAUGGUUCUAAAGUGAAAGAUGGUUUUACUAUCACUUAUAGAUGGACCCGCGCCGUAUUAGCUAGUUGGUAAGGUAACGGCUUACCAAGGCAACGAUACGUAGCCGACCUGAGAGGGUGAUCGGCCACACUGGAACUGAGACACGGUCCAGACUCCUACGGGAGGCAGCAGUAGGGAAUCUUCCGCAAUGGGCGAAAGCCUGACGGAGCAACGCCGCGUGAGUGAUGAAGGUCUUCGGAUCGUAAAACUCUGUUAUUAGGGAAGAACAAAUGUGUAAGUAACUGUGCACGUCUUGACGGUACCUAAUCAGAAAGCCACGGCUAACUACGUG
Molecule: ribosomal RNA, 496 nt
Filed under: uncultured bacterium
Lineage: Bacteria
Description: partial 16S ribosomal RNA
Rfam family: Bacterial small subunit ribosomal RNA
Source: RNAcentral